UGGGGUUGGUCUAGUGGUUGGUUUGGGAUUUUGGAGUUUGCUCCUCUCAAGGUCUCGGGUUCGAUUCCCUGUGGUGCCAA
Molecule: transfer RNA, 80 nt
Filed under: Medicago truncatula (barrel medic)
Lineage: Eukaryota; Viridiplantae; Streptophyta; Magnoliopsida; Fabales; Fabaceae
Description: tRNA-OTHER
Source: RNAcentral